CACAAGACUGAAUCUGGAUCACCAUCUAGUGGCAGACGGGUGAGUAACACGUGGGUGACCUACCUUUUCGUUGGGGAUAACAGUUGGAAACGAUUGCUAAUACCGAAUAAAAUGUAAGAGUCAAUUUUACAUUGAAAGGAGCCUUUAAAGCUUCGCGAUUAGAUGGGCCUGCGGCGUAUUAACUAGUUGGUGAGGUAAUGGCUUACCAAGGUGACGAUGCGUAGCCGAACUGAGAGGUUGAUCGGCCACACUGGAACUGAGACACGGUCCAGACUCC
This 277-nucleotide ribosomal RNA is filed under the name uncultured bacterium. RNAcentral describes it as "partial 16S ribosomal RNA". It matches the Rfam family "Bacterial small subunit ribosomal RNA", at positions 65 to 339 of the family's 1533-position model. The record is from RNAcentral.